AGCCUGAUGCAGCCAUGCCGCGUGUGUGAAGAAGGCCUUCGGGUUGUAAAGCACUUUCAGUCGUGAGGAAGGUAGUGUAGUUAAUAGCUGCAUUAUUUGACGUUAGCGACAGAAGAAGCACCGGCUAACUCCGUGCCAGCAGCCGCGGUAAUACGGAGGGUGCGAGCGUUAAUCGGAAUUACUGGGCGUAAAGCGCAUGCAGGUGGUUUGUUAAGUCAGAUGUGAAAGCCCGGGGCUCAACCUCGGAAUAGCAUUUGAAACUGGCAGACUAGAGUACUGUAGAGGGGGGUAGAAUUUCAGGUGUAGCGGUGAAAUGCGUAGAGAUCUGAAGGAAUACCGGUGGCGAAGGCGGCCCCCUGGACAGAUACUGACACUCAGAUGCGAAAGCGUGGGGAGCAAACAGGAUUAGAUACCCUGGUAGUCCACGCCGUAAACGAUGUCUACUUGGAGGUUGUGGCCUUGAGCCGUGGCUUUCGGAGCUAACGCGUUAAGUAGAC
Molecule: ribosomal RNA, 497 nt
Filed under: Vibrio sp.
Lineage: Bacteria; Pseudomonadati; Pseudomonadota; Gammaproteobacteria; Vibrionales; Vibrionaceae
Description: bacterial SSU rRNA
Rfam family: Bacterial small subunit ribosomal RNA
Source: RNAcentral